This 254-nucleotide ribosomal RNA is filed under the name uncultured bacterium. RNAcentral's name for it is "partial 16S ribosomal RNA". It matches the Rfam family "Bacterial small subunit ribosomal RNA", at positions 524 to 776 of the family's 1533-position model. The record is from RNAcentral.
UACGGGGGGAGCAAGCGUUGUUCGGAUUUACUGGGCGUAAAGGGCGCGUAGGCGGCCAGCACAAGUCAGUUGUGAAAUCUCCGAGCUUAACUCGGAAAGGUCAACUGAUACUGUGCGGCUAGAGUGCAGAAGGGGCAACUGGAAUUCUUGGUGUAGCGGUGAAAUGCGCAGAUAUCAGGAGGAACACCGGUGGCGAAGGCGGGUCUCUGGGCCGAUACUGACGCUGAGGAGCGAAAGCGUGGGGAGCGAACAGG